CCCGCUUCCGGAACGGGCUCGCGGAGUGCGAGUCUAUGGCGUCGGCGACGGCCUGGGUAGUUCCGUGGAGAGCGUGGGGAGUGGCGUGGGCCCCUGCGCGGCGUGGGCGGGGCGUGCUCCCCGCCGCGCUCCUCACCCGAACUCCCUAGCUGGGUCAACUCUGCUGGACCGGUCCGGACGACAGGCUCUGAUAGGCUUCGUCUUGGGCGGUGACCUCUUGACUGCCCGUCCCUUUAGACAGGAAGUGAGCAAAUGCUGUUGGAAAAAUGGUGCCAGUGGACUUGCCCAACACAUGGGUGCCACAAAUCUUCAAUUUGUAGAAGUGCGGUAUCUGCGAAGCACAGUAAAGUGAAGUGCAAUAAAAUGAGAUGACAUGAUUGUGUGUAGAAGUUCCUAAGGAAUCUCCAGAACUUACGUUAGAGCUAAUGAGUGAAUUAAGAAGGCCACAGGAUGCAAGAUCCUGAAGGAAAGCACAUCUUUCUCACGGGUUCUUUUUGAGGAUUAACGGAUAAUGUGUACGGGGCCUGGCACAUCGCAGUUCGUACGCGGGCCUCUCACUGUUGUGGCCUCAGAGCACAGGCUCCGGACGCGCAGGCUCAGCGGCCAUGGCUCACAGGCCCAGCCACUCCGCGGCAUGUGGGAUCCUCCUGGACCGGGGCACAAACCCGUGUCCCCUGCAUCGGCAGGCGGACUCUCAACUACUGCGCCGCCAGGGAAGCCCAGACUAGCUACUUUUAAAUGAUUCCAAGCAGAGCACUUCUGAAAGUAAGACAAUGCAAGUGGAAAGGAGACAUUUCACUUUUACUUUAGGGUGGGUGACAUAAAACAAGGAUGAUUUAGUCGUAAGCAAUUGCUCUAUGAUACCUGGAAUUAUCCCUUGGUGAAACUUGGUGCCAUGGCUCUACCUUUAAUACAUAUCCAGUAUGCAGCCACUUCUCACCACUUCUAAAAUCAAACCCCUGGCUCUGAACCCGAAUCUUGGUCCACAGCACCUGGACUUCAGCGAUAGCCCCCAGACUGUCUUCCAGAUUUCUACCCUUGUGUUAUUCUCAACUUGCAAGCCAGAAUGAGCCUUAGAACAUGUAAUUCCAUUUAGAAAGUGUAAAUUCCCUUUCUCAAAACCCCACUGUUAUCUCACUCAGAGAACUGCAGGUCAUCUGGUUCCCUGUGACACCUCUUUCUUUAUGUCCUCCCACCCGCCUCCUCGCUUACUCCAAUCCAGCCCACUAGCUUCUCGCUGUCGUUAAAACAUGCCAACGUCACCUCACCACCUCUACCCUCACACAUAAAAGCCCCUUCAGCCUGCCUCGCUGUUUCCAUAGAAUUGAGAUCCUCCAACAUCCUACAUAAUUUACCUAUUUUACUAUUUCUUGUUCACUGUCUAUUAUCUACAUCACCUGAUUAGAAUGUCAGCUCUAAGCAAGGCACUCAGUAGAUGUUUAUUGAAGGAACAAGUGGGUGAAUGAAUGCUUUAAUGCCAAUAGCCAAACCACGCUUCUAUGAUUGAACAUGAACAUUCACUUUAAUCAAUAUUUGCACGAGGCAUUGGUCUAAAGGCGAAUGAUGAUCAUAGAAAAUGAACUGGCAUUAAGAAUCAGCAUUUUUGGCUUUAAAGGAGGUAAGAUACAAUGGUAGAAAUGGGCCCUGGCUCUGAAGCCCACUAGGUCUUCGUUAGAAUCCCGGUUGCACCAUUUCCCAGCCCAGUGACCUUGGACAAGGCACUUUGGCAUCUAAUCCUCAGUUCUCUCACAUAUAAAAUAGUGAAAGCUGUGAUGCCUGCUUCAUGACUGUUGUCAUGACGAUUAAAUGAGUUCGCACACGUAAAAUGUUCAAUAUAAAAUAACGGCUCAAUAAAUAACAACUAUUUGUGGAAGUAAACACAAUUUUUAAAAAUCAUGUAGAGAGCCUGAGAACUAUCUGAAAGACAAGACAUCUCCCUCUUAGUUAUUAUAAACAACUAGUUUUGAAAAAUGAUGUCUGAUGAACAUUAAUUUUUAAAACAUGGGAAUGAAUUGGCCUUUGGUCUUUUAGAAGGGGUGGAGGCUGCGUAACUAUCUGCUAUUUAAUACUAAGACUGACGCUUUGGUCAGUGGUCCUCAAAGUUUUUGGUCUUAAGACUCCUUCUCACUCUCAAAAAUUAUUGAGGACUCCAAAGAGCCUAUACUUUUGUAGGUUAUGUCUAUCAGUAUUUUUGGUAUUUAAAAGAAAAACAUAACUUUAUAAACUUAAUUCAUUAAAAAUAUCAAUAAUAA
Molecule: long non-coding RNA, 2252 nt
Organism: Lagenorhynchus albirostris (white-beaked dolphin)
Lineage: Eukaryota; Metazoa; Chordata; Mammalia; Artiodactyla; Delphinidae
Exons: 5
Source: RefSeq, a predicted model, not a curated record